This 466-nucleotide ribosomal RNA is filed under the name uncultured bacterium. RNAcentral's name for it is "partial 16S ribosomal RNA". It matches the Rfam family "Bacterial small subunit ribosomal RNA", at positions 28 to 507 of the family's 1533-position model. The record is from RNAcentral.
GACGAACGCUGGCGGCGUGCUUAACACAUGCAAGUCGAACGGAAAGGCCAGUGCUUGCCCUGGUACUCGAGUGGCGAACGGGUGAGUAACACGUGGGUGAUCUGCCUUGCACUCUGGGAUAAGCUUGGGAAACUGGGUCUAAUACCGGCUAUGAACUGCCGUUAGUGUGGGGGUUGGAGAGCUUUUUCGGUGCAAGAUGAGCUGGCGGCUUAUCAGCUUGUUGGGGGGGUAAUGGCAUACCAAGGCGUCGACGGAUAGCCGGCCUGAGAGGGUGGACGGCCACAUUGGGACUGAGGUACGGCCCAGAGGCCUACGGGAGGCAGCAGUGGGGAAUAUGACACAACGGGCGGAAGCGCGAUAAGACGGCGCUGCGUGGGGGAUGACGGCCUUUGGGUUAAAAACUCCUUUCGGCUGAGACGAAGCGUAAGUGACGGUACCUGAAUAAGAAGCACCGGCUAACUACGUG